This is a small nuclear RNA of Vigna umbellata (rice bean), 202 nucleotides long. RefSeq annotates it as U2 spliceosomal RNA. Lineage: Eukaryota; Viridiplantae; Streptophyta; Magnoliopsida; Fabales; Fabaceae. The record is from RefSeq and is a predicted model, not a curated record.
AUACCUUUCUCGGCCUUUUGGCUAAGAUCAAGUGUACUAUCUGUUCUUAUCAGUUUAAUAUCUGAUACAAGUGUUGCUCAAGUCUUGCACUAUUGUUGGCACACCCUACCAAUUUAAGUCUAUCAUUUAUGGGUCCUCCUUCUCUAUAAAUUUGGAUUGACCGUUUUGUAUUUAAACUAACAGCAGAAUUGGCCCAAAUAUU